UUUCAUACCAAGUUCAUCAUUUCCCUGAAAGUGAGGGCAGGUCCUUUUGCAUCUGUUCAAACAAAAGACCCAGACACCAGCUGGUCAGGAGCUUGCCUGCUUCUGGGUGUUGGGUCUGUCUCUUCCCCUUUGCUUUUAGAUGGGUACAACUAUGGGAGCACCAACUACAACCUGUCCCUGAAGAGUUGAGUCGCCGUCAGUAGACACGUCCAAGAACCAGUUGUCCCUGAAGCUGAGCUCUGUGACCGCCGCGGACACGGCCGUGUAUUACUGUGCGAGAGACACAGUGAGGGGAGGUGGGUGUGAGCCCAGACACAAACCUCCCUGCAGGGAGGCGGAGGGGGCGGGCGCAGGUGCCGCUCAGGACCAGCAGGGGGCGCGCGGGGACCACAGAGCCCGAGGCCGGGUCAGGAGCAGGUGCAGGGAGGGCGGGGCUUCCUCAUCUGCUCGGUGCUCUCCCUCCUCGCCAGCACCUCAGCUGUCCCCAGGGCUCCUCUUUCUUUGAUAUCUGUGGUUCUACUUCC
This is an RNA transcript of Piliocolobus tephrosceles (Ugandan red Colobus), 524 nucleotides long. It is a transcript of the gene named Ig heavy chain V region 93G7-like, with no coding region annotated. The transcript has a single exon. The record is from RefSeq and is a predicted model, not a curated record. NCBI's taxonomy places the organism in Eukaryota, Metazoa, Chordata, Mammalia, Primates, Cercopithecidae.